This 351-nucleotide long non-coding RNA is filed under the name Nicotiana benthamiana. RNAcentral's name for it is "long non-coding RNA (NBEN_LNC038302)". The record is from RNAcentral. Lineage: Eukaryota; Viridiplantae; Streptophyta; Magnoliopsida; Solanales; Solanaceae.
UUUUUCGAGGUGACUUCUAACUGGUGACCAGAAAAGAGUGGCUAGCGCCGGAGAAAGCGAGAUAGUUACAUAGAUCAGAGAAGGUUUGAGAUGAGCUUUUACAAUCUUUUAGCCCUGUGAGAUAUGGUUAGUCAUAGCCAUCAACCAUCCUCCUUGGGAUUGGCCCGAAGUAGGUGAAAGACGGUCUCUCGCUGAUUGUUCCGCCUGAACGGAGUGUCAGCGGUUCUGAAGAAGAAAAGGAAGAGAUAAGUUACUCCUACUAGAAAGGGACCUAGAAAAAUUAAUACGCUAUUACCUUCUUAGGCAAAGACAGAUUUCCAAGAGUAGAGAGCAUGAUUUACGGCUACAACC